CCUUUCCCUGGAAGUUCCCUCAGCCAGCAGCAUCCUUUCCUCCUGUGCUCCACCUAAACUGUUUCUCCUGUUCCUUUUCCCUCCAGAUCGCUACACAAUGUCAUGUCUCCUGAGACUUCCUCUGGGGCCUUCCAGGCAGAAGUAUGAUCCUUCUCUGGUCCCUCACCUUAGCUGCCUGAAAGCCAGGCUUCCACCAGGAGCCUUCAGAUGAAGAUGGAGAACUCUCAGCAACUUCUGCACCAUGCCUGCCUCGAUGCUGCCAUGCUCCUGCCUUGAUGAUAAUGGACUGAACCUCUGAACCUAUAUCCCUGCUUCCAGUUGAGAACUCCGAUCCUGUGUCGAGGCUGGACCCUGACGAAGAAGGAGAAGAUUUAAAGAGACACCUGCUCAUCACACAUCAUGGGGUACUGACAGACUAAAGAUACAAUUCUACCAGGUCCAGUUUGUUGAACUCAUAUAUUUUAUUGAGGCUAGAUACAGGAGUAACUGUGACUCAAAAACAGCUGAAUUACCAAAAGUCCCAUCCCAACAUGGAUCCGACUCAGUUAUGUGUGUGUGUGUGUGUGUGUGUAUGAAUGGCUUACAGGCUAUGGUCCAACUAGUCCAACAAUGAGUUAGUACUAAUGGAAUGUUCAAGAAUCCAGUAUUUGUUCAGUCCACCAGGCUAGAUGUCUCAGAUAACCUUCAGUUAUGCUGGAAUCCCAAAGAAGAAGGCUCUAAUAACAAUGAACGAAUGGACUUGCCAGCAAGAACAAAAACAAGCAGGCAAAGAAAGUUUCCUUCUUCUAUGUCCUUUAGAUAGGCUGCCAGCAGAAGGGGUGGCCCAGAUUAAAGGUAUAUCUUACCACCUCAAAGAUCCAAAUUAAAAGCUGGUCUUCCCACUUCAAAUUAUUUAAUUAAUAAAAAACUCUCUCACAGGUAAACCCAGCCAUUCAGGUUUUAGUACACUCCAUAUAUAGUCAAAUUGACAACCAAGAAUAACCAUCACAGGACACCAAGGCAGAACUUCAAACAACUAAGCAUAUCCUGUCCAUAGUCAAGAGCGUAUAUCUUCACAGAGAAAAGAACACAUGCAUAUUCAUUUGCUUUAUUUCUUAUGCUCACAAAUAUAUGUUUGCAUAGAGACGUGAGCACACACAUACUCACUUGCUUUAUUGCUUGUGCUCAUUUCCAUACCCCUGCUUUUAUAUAGUUCUGAUCACACUACUAAGGGAAUGAUGCCACCCAGAGUGGGCUAGGUUUUUCUCCAUGAAUUAAUAUAAUUGUGGUAAUCUUCCACAGACAUGCCAACCCAAUCCAGACCAUCCCUCAUGAAGACUUCCUUUCUAGUGAAUCUAGGUUGGGAUAAGUUGACAGUUAAAGCUAACCAUUACAGGAUUUGUUUAUUUAUCUGUUUGUUUUUAAUCAUCUCUUUGCUACAUCAACUCUAGCUUUUUACUAUUUACCUUAAGAGUCUUCUUUUACAUCUAAUCAACCAUAUAUUCCUAGGCUUAAUUCAAACGAUAAGAUAUUGAUUCAGCAUAAGAAUAAGACACCCACAAACUGUUUCCAAUGACCACUCCAAAAUUCUAAAAAGUAUACCAUGGACAUAGAAACACAGCUUGGGCCAUCACAUCUGGAGAAGAACUACAAGUCAUCUAUUUUCUGACUCAAAUUUAACCUUUUAUCAGAUGUUCGCUGAAAUAGAAGCCUUAUAAGUAUGUGCUGGCUGAUAUGUGCCCAAAGGUUGCAAGAACUUGAAGAUGGAUGAUUACAAUGGGGAUUUCAAAGGGGAACAAAGAAAAAGUAGUGAUCAAAGGUCCACACUGACACCACUCACUUUCCUGGUUUGCUGGUUUGCUGGUUUACUCACAAGACUACUUAGCCUCCGUAAUCACAUGAGACCGUUCCCACACUAAAUCUCUCAUACAUUUAUUGCUAAGAUAUAAGCUCCCCAGAGGUGUGACAGUACUAAGAAGACAUGAUCUUUCAAAGAUGGGACCAUGGCAGGACAUUAGGGGCAUGCCCUUCUAAAUGACUGAUGCAGUCCCAGUAAUUGCUCUCUGGCUUUCUAUUGAUCUGUUUGGGUCCUUGUCCUCAUACUGACUCACACGAUUGUAGUGCUAUCUUCCACUCAUGGAUAGUCUUCAACAGAACUAAGCCAAUGCAUCAUGGCAAGCUCUUGAUUUCCUAUUACUGUUAACUAAAUAAUGUUCUUUAUCAGGUACUCAGCCUCGGAUAUUUUGUUAUAUAACAACAUGAAUCAGACAUCUUGUCGUUGACAUCUACAUGUUCUGUUGAUUCUCUUUGUCUAAAUAAAACUGCCUAAUAAACCCUCAAAAAAAAAAAAA
This 2330-nucleotide long non-coding RNA is filed under the name Mus musculus (house mouse). The record is from RNAcentral. Lineage: Eukaryota; Metazoa; Chordata; Mammalia; Rodentia; Muridae.